GUACAUCAGGUUGUUAGUUGUUAAUUCAUCACUACCGCUUCCUAGACUACUUAAUGUAGGAAGUGGGUGUUAAUAUAAAGUAUACAGUAAGGUGGGGUUAAUGAUGUUACUCUACUAUGAUUUGUUCACAUGCAAUAA
Amblyraja radiata (thorny skate) is the source of this 138-nucleotide long non-coding RNA. RefSeq lists it as uncharacterized. The record is from RefSeq and is a predicted model, not a curated record. NCBI's taxonomy places the organism in Eukaryota, Metazoa, Chordata, Chondrichthyes, Rajiformes, Rajidae. The transcript has 3 exons.